AUAGAUAUGUAUACAUAGAGGUAAGCUAAGAUGCUUCUAAGAGCAUCUAGCUCCAAAUGCUUCUGAGUGACAUUUUUUCAAAUAAAAAUCAAUAUUAUUGAUCAUGAUCUACAAAACUAAAAUUGGCUAGAGGCAAAAAUUCAUGCAUUUUUUUAAUAUUUUCUAUACAUGUAUCAAAUGAAAACAAAAUUAACCAUGUCAUGAUAUAAAUUAUUUUGAAACAUCCAUAUUAGCUGAAAUUUAAUUUGUAUAAUUUUAAAAUAUUUUAGAUCAAGAUCAAUGAUUAAUUUAGAAGUGCAAAUUAUAUAGUUUAUACUAUAUUUUCAUUAACUAGUUAUAUUUUUAUUGUUCAUCUUUUCUUGGCUUGAUGCAUAGGCAAGAUACCUUAAAAUAAAACUAUUUAGUUCUAAUUUUUAUUUUCAAUUUUAGGAGUCUUUUUUCUUUGAUUAAGGAGCAUUAAGUGCCAAAUACACUUAGA
RNAcentral lists this long non-coding RNA (478 nucleotides) under Elaeis guineensis (African oil palm). Its description in RNAcentral is "long non-coding RNA (EGUI_LNC045813)". The record is from RNAcentral. Lineage: Eukaryota; Viridiplantae; Streptophyta; Magnoliopsida; Arecales; Arecaceae.